This 443-nucleotide ribosomal RNA is filed under the name uncultured bacterium. Its description in RNAcentral is "partial 16S ribosomal RNA". It matches the Rfam family "Bacterial small subunit ribosomal RNA", at positions 338 to 795 of the family's 1533-position model. The record is from RNAcentral.
CCUACGGGGAGCAGCAGUGGGGAAUAUUGCACAAUGGGCGAAAGCCUGAUGCAGCAACGCCGCGUGAAGGAAGAAGGGUUUCGGCUCGUAAACUUCUAUCAACAGGGACGAAAGAAAUGACGGUACCUGAAUAAGAAGCCCCGGCUAACUACGUGCCAGCAGCCGCGGUAAUACGUAGGGGGCAAGCGUUAUCCGGAUUUACUCGGUGUAAAGGGAGCGUAGGCGGUUUAGCAAGUCAGAAGUGAAAGCCCGGGGCUCAACUCCGGGACUGCUUUUGAAACUGUUGAACUAGAUUGCAGGAGAGGUAAGUGGAAUUCCUAGUGUAGCGGUGAAAUGCGUAGAUAUUAGGAGGAACACCAGUGGCGAAGGCGGCUUACUGGACUGUAAAUGACGCUGAGGCUCGAAAGCGUGGGGAGCAAACAGGAUUAGAUACCCCAGUAGUC